Non-coding RNA from Triticum aestivum (bread wheat), 135 nucleotides. Lineage: Eukaryota; Viridiplantae; Streptophyta; Magnoliopsida; Poales; Poaceae. The record is from Rfam.
CAAAUACUCCCUCCGUCCCAAAAUUCUUGUCUUUGACUUGUCUACAUACAGAUGUAUUUAUUCACAUUUUAGUGUUAGAUAUAUCCAUAUCUAGAUACAUUUAAGACAAGAAUUUUGGGACGGAGGGAGUAUGAU